RNAcentral lists this ribosomal RNA (497 nucleotides) under uncultured bacterium. Its description in RNAcentral is "partial 16S ribosomal RNA". It matches the Rfam family "Bacterial small subunit ribosomal RNA", at positions 28 to 507 of the family's 1533-position model. The record is from RNAcentral.
GAUGAACGCUGGCGGCGUGCCUAAUACAUGCCAGUCGAGCGAACAGACGAGGAGCUUGCUCCUCUGACGUUAGCGGCGGACGGGUGAGUAACACGUGGAUAACCUACCUAUCAGACUGGGAUAACUUCGGGAAACCGGCGCUAAUACCGGAUAAUAUAUUGAACCGCAUGGUUCAAUAGUGAGAGACGGUUUUGCUGUCACUUAUAGAUGGAUCCGCGCCGCAUUAGCUAGUUGGUAAGGUAACGGCUUACCAAGGCAACGAUGCGUAGCCGACCUGAGAGGGUGAUCGGCCACACUGGAACUGAGACACGGUCCAGACUCCUACGGGAGGCAGCAGUAGGGAAUCUUCCGCAAUGGGCGAAAGCCUGACGGAGCAACGCCGCGUGAGUGAUGAAGGUCUUCGGAUCGUAAAACUCUGUUAUUAGGGAAGAACAAAUGUGUAAGUAACUAUGCACGUCUUGACGGUACCUAAUCAGAAAGCCACGGCUAACUACGUG